Small nuclear RNA from Hippoglossus stenolepis (Pacific halibut), 160 nucleotides. RefSeq annotates it as U1 spliceosomal RNA. Lineage: Eukaryota; Metazoa; Chordata; Actinopteri; Pleuronectiformes; Pleuronectidae. The transcript has a single exon. The record is from RefSeq and is a predicted model, not a curated record.
CUCCUCACCUGGCAGGGAGAUACCAUGAUCAUGAAGGGUGGUUCACCCAGGGCGAGGCUCAGCCGUGCACGCCCUAGGUUGUGCUGACCAGUCAUAGUCCCCAAUUGUGGGAAUCUCGACUGCAUAAUUUGUGGUAGUGGGGACUGCGUCAAGCUCCCCU